This 253-nucleotide ribosomal RNA is filed under the name uncultured bacterium. Its description in RNAcentral is "partial 16S ribosomal RNA". It matches the Rfam family "Bacterial small subunit ribosomal RNA", at positions 524 to 776 of the family's 1533-position model. The record is from RNAcentral.
UACGUGAGGGGCGAACGUUGUUCGGUGUCACUGGGCUUAAAGGGUGCGGAGGUGGUUGCGUAAGUAAGGUGUGAAAUCCCUCGGCUUACCCGGGGAAUUGCAUUUUAUACUGCGUGGCUUGAGGACUAAAGGGGAAAAGGGAACUCCAGGUGUAGCGGUGAAAUGCGCAGAUAUCUGGGGGAAGGCCGGCGGUGAAGGCGCUUUUCUGGUUAGUACCUGACACUGAGGCACGAAAGCGUGGGGAGCAAACAGG